AUCGGGGGAAUCAUCCUGGUACUCAGCCUCCAAGCCGUUGUCUUUUUCGUGGUGAAAUUCCUCAAGGCAAAGGACAGCACCUAUCAGACACUGAUCUGAUGGCUGAUCACCAAGGAGCUGCCUUGAUAAGCGUUUCUCUUGCGGGAGGAGUUGCUGGAGAAGAGGAGCCUGCCUGUGGCUGCAUUAGGAGCCAGGACUCUUUCCCUCUCUCUCUUCUUCAAAUGGAGCUGCUGAAGUGGGAGAUCUGCUCCAGACCUAAACAGCCUAUUGUCACAAUGGGUGAUGCUUGGCUCAGAUACCUGGACCCUUUAGACUUGCUGCGGAAAUAGUAUAAAUAUAUACAUGAGAUACUAGCAAGCUCAAGCUGCAGGGAUCUGCUUCGUAUGUAACUGUGUGAGGUUAAGGACGCCUUCAAAUGAUUGUGGGGUUUUCUUUCUAUUUUUUCCCCCUUCUGUGCAACCUGCUUUUGGUUGAUUAUCCUUAUUCUAAGCCCACAUGGCUCCUGUUUCAGUACCUGCCGGUCCUGUAUAUUUGUUUCUUAAAUGCUGCACCAAAAGUGGAAUGUCCAGUGGAACUUGGGGCUACUUCACCUGUGUGACUUCUUUCUCCCUCCACCCAAUAUUGUAUAAGCCAGAUCACUCUAAAAGGUCAGAGUCUUAUGCAGAUGUCAAGACACUUGAGUCGCGAUGUUAACUUCUUGCACAAGAGAGUUGGGGUGGGUCUCCUUCACGCUCGUUCUUGCGAGUGAGUUUCCAGUAGGGGAGUUGCGUCGAAGCAGCUGACUUGUUAACGCCGAACCCAACCGAUGUUGGACCCCAUUGGAAGUUGCCUGUCCAUUAAAGAGUGGGUCCUUCUAAGAGUCCAGUUCUCAGCUGCCUCCCUGGAAAAACAAAGAACACCCCUUACUGUGGAAUGGCAGCAAACACAAGGGGGGAAGACGCCUCUAAAAUAAAAUGAAAUAUUUGUGGAACGCA
Podarcis muralis (Common wall lizard) is the source of this 974-nucleotide non-coding RNA. NCBI's taxonomy places the organism in Eukaryota, Metazoa, Chordata, Lepidosauria, Squamata, Lacertidae. The record is from RefSeq and is a predicted model, not a curated record.